RNAcentral lists this ribosomal RNA (677 nucleotides) under uncultured beta proteobacterium. Its description in RNAcentral is "SSU rRNA". It matches the Rfam family "Bacterial small subunit ribosomal RNA", at positions 245 to 915 of the family's 1533-position model. Lineage: Bacteria; Pseudomonadati; Pseudomonadota; Betaproteobacteria. The record is from RNAcentral.
CUAGUUGGUGGGGUAAAGGCCUACCAAGGCAUCGAUCAGUAGCUGGUCUGAGAGGACGACCAGCCACACUGGAACUGAGACACGGUCCAGACUCCUACGGGAGGCAGCAGUGGGGAAUUUUGGACAAUGGGCGAAAGCCUGAUCCAGCAAUGCCGCGUGAGUGAAGAAGGCCUUCGGGUUGUAAAGCUCUUUUGUCAGGGAAGAAACGGUGAGGGCUAAUAUCCCUUGCUAAUGACGGUACCUGAAGAAUAAGCACCGGCUAACUACGUGCCAGCAGCCGCGGUAAUACGUAGGGUGCAAGCGUUAAUCGGAAUUACUGGGCGUAAAGCGUGCGCAGGCGGUUUUGUAAGUCUGUCGUGAAAUCCCCGGGCUCAACCUGGGAAUUGCGAUGGAGACUGCAAGGCUAGAAUCUGGCAGAGGGGGGUAGAAUUCCACGUGUAGCAGUGAAAUGCGUAGAGAUGUGGAGGAACACCGAUGGCGAAGGCAGCCCCCUGGGUCAAGAUUGACGCUCAUGCACGAAAGCGUGGGGAGCAAACAGGAUUAGAUACCCUGGUAGUCCACGCCCUAAACGAUGUCUACUAGUUGUCGGGUUUUAAUUAACUUGGUAACGCAGCUAACGCGUGAAGUAGACCGCCUGGGGAGUACGGUCGCAAGAUUAAAACUCAAAGGAAUUGACG